Molecule: RNA transcript, 1694 nt
Organism: Sciurus carolinensis (gray squirrel)
Lineage: Eukaryota; Metazoa; Chordata; Mammalia; Rodentia; Sciuridae
Gene name: translation initiation factor IF-2-like
Exons: 2
Source: RefSeq, a predicted model, not a curated record
UGCUUCUCCCAGGACAGAAACCCUGAGUGUGGCGUCAGGAACAGAAGAAGCCGCGGGCACCCGUGACAGAAGGACAGUCGUCCCGUUUAAUUUCUCCACAAUGGGAAUAACACCUUCCCUCCCCGCGGAGGGAGGGUGCGCGACAGAAGAUGCCCGAGAUCGCGGCAGUCAAGCGGAGACCGGGCCCAGGAGAUGGGCAGUCCCAGGGCAGCCCGGCCCCCAGCAGGGUCGGCGGCGGCGCGGAUCUCUCCCGGCUGCGGAGGCCGGGAAGAGGGGCCUCCCGGCUCCCUGCUCACACCGGGCGGGCGGGAGGAGCGGCCCUUACCUGCCUCUGGGGCGGGCUGUGGCUGCGGCGCCGCCUGGAAAGGGCCGGAGCGCGGCUGGCCGGCCAGGCACCCGCCCGGCAGAGACGAAGGGCGAGGUGCGCUGCGGCCAGACUCGGUCCCGGGUCCCCAGCCAGGCGGGCCGAACUGAACGCGGAGGCCCCCAGAACCGGUGGCCGUCAGUCAAGCUGGUGUACCCUCAGCGAGGCGGCGGAGACAGCGGGAACCGGCCCGGGGAUGAGCCGCAGCCCCGGCGGCAGGCGGAGGCGGCGAAGGAGGGGCGGGGCCACGGGGUCGCCGACCCGCUCACCCGGAAGCAGUUGUGGUCAGGGCGGCCUGCGAACUCCGCGCGCUUCGUCCGGGCUAAGACUCGCCGGGCGACGUACCCGGGCUGGCGGGGUUACCGUCCCAGGCAGCAGUGCGCCUGCUUGCCUAGUCCGCCACCGCGAGCCUCUGGGGUGGCACGGGAGGGAGGAAGGAAGGGCGGGGAGCGCGGCCUCCGGUAAGGCGGGGCCUGAGCCACCGGUGGGGCGGAGGCCCUGGGCUCCUGGAGGCAGGCAUAACCCUGACCCUGGACCGGGACCGAUAUGCGAAUUGAUACGUGUGUGGGCUCACGGUUGCACCUGCCCGGGUCGCCUCUAAACCGCCCCGCCUGGUGAGCUUGGGUAAGUGGUCGGUAGUGGCGCCCUGUCUGUAGGAAGCGAGAGUGUGCGGAUGGGCGUCGUUGAAAUGGCAAGCCAUAUUUCCAAAAUGGAAUUGCCUUAUUUUAAAAUGAUUUCUAGAGAAGGAUACUUGACGGGGGUGAGGCCAAAAAAAGAGUUUAGAGUCCGUUAAAAAUCAGAUAACCGGACGCGGUGGAGCGCACCUGUAGUCCCGGAGCCAAUGAAUUCCAGGCCAGCCUGGGAAUCAAGGAGACCCAGUGUUAAGAAAAAUUUUAACAAUCGGACAGACGCGGACCUGUCAUUCGUUCCAGAAGUGUCUGUCGAGGCACACCAGGUUGAAAGCACUGGGAAAGACCAGCUCCUGCUCUUAGCUGCUGUCCACACUAUCACUGAUUGCUGAUCAACCGUUGUCAACGAGGCCAGAUGACUAACCACUGCUCCCACGGUGAUGACUGCCAUGCAGCCUCCGACUCAUUGGACACCCGAGGACAUCCGAAGAUGUCGGAGGAGCUGAGAGAGGCUAUGGCUGAGAGGAAUCCCCUUGGUCUUAUUGACUGACUUCUUGGCUAAGAGACGUUGCAUUGAGUAAGUCCGUGGGGAUUGGACUCUAGAUGAACAAGGGAUUGAAUCUUCAAUGUAUUUGUGACUUGCUGUUAUUAGGAAUGCUAAGUUGAGUGUGUAUUGCAUGAAUAAAAUCCACUCAUUGGAA